UAACCUUGCGGCCAUACUCCCCAGGCGGUCUACUUAAUGCGUUAGCUUGAGAGCCCAGUGUUCAAGACACCAAACUCCGAGUAGACAUCGUUUACGGCGUGGACUACCAGGGUAUCUAAUCCUGUUUGCUCCCCACGCUUUCGUGCCUGAGCGUCAGUCUUUGUCCAGGGGGCCGCCUUCGCCACCGGUAUUCCUCCAGAUCUCUACGCAUUUCACCGCUACACCUGGAAUUCUACCCCCCUCUACAAGACUCUAGUUCGCCAGUUCGAAAUGCAAUUCCCAGGUUGAGCCCGGGGCUUUCACAUCUCGCUUAACAAACCGCCUGCGCACGCUUUACGCCCAGUAAUUCCGAUUAACGCUCGGACCCUCCGUAUUACCGCGGCUGCUGGCACGGAGUUAGCCGGUCCUUCUUCUGUAGGUAACGUCACAGCAACAGCGUAUUAAGCUGCUACCUUUCCUCCCUACUGAGAGUGCUUUACAACCCGAAGGCCUUCUUCACACACGCGGCAUGGCUGCAUCAGGGUUUCCCCCAUUGUGCAGUAUUCCCCA
This 549-nucleotide ribosomal RNA is filed under the name uncultured bacterium. Its description in RNAcentral is "partial 16S ribosomal RNA". The record is from RNAcentral.